UAGCCACCAUGUUGUGAGGAAGCCCGAAGAGACAGAGCCCAGAGAGAGGCCCUCAGCUCACAGUCCUGGCUGAGCCUCUGGUAGACAGCCACCUGAAGUUGUGAGCUCCUCAAGGCCACGCGUCCUCUCGCUGAGCAUCUAUGUCUGUGUUGACCAAGCGCGUGAGCUGCACUAGUGCUCAGCUGAAGACUGCUGAAGGAAUGACUGACACGUUAACCACCUCCAUCCCUUCCAUCGAUCCCAGUAUCCUUCUUCCAGGAAAAUGACGGCUGAUGAUGGUGAUUGGACUGAUACUUAAAUCUGGUCUACUCUUUUGGGAUAGAAUCCUCAGAGGGAGUAGGGUGUUCUCCUCACUCCCUUUUAACCUAAAUACUAUCAAAUACCUCAAAAGAAAUUUCAGGCAUUGCCAAAGACAGUGGUGUCAUCCUCAGGGGGCUCUGGACCUGUGCAACCGGUAAGAGAUGAAGGUGUUUGUACCUGAACACACAUCUCAAAUAUGUAUAAAAUCGAACAAGCCUGA
Long non-coding RNA from Callorhinus ursinus (northern fur seal), 520 nucleotides. RefSeq lists it as uncharacterized. Lineage: Eukaryota; Metazoa; Chordata; Mammalia; Carnivora; Otariidae. The record is from RefSeq and is a predicted model, not a curated record.